This 788-nucleotide long non-coding RNA is filed under the name Solanum tuberosum (potato). Its description in RNAcentral is "long non-coding RNA (STUB_LNC010462)". Lineage: Eukaryota; Viridiplantae; Streptophyta; Magnoliopsida; Solanales; Solanaceae. The record is from RNAcentral.
UCGGGGUUAUUUUUUUUUGGCUUAUCAAACCAACGUAUACCUAUUCUUUCUUUUAUGACUUCUAGUAGAGAAAUUAUAGUAUUGCAAUAUUUUUUAUAUUUUUUAUUUUGCGAUCAUUGAAAGCAAUCUUCAGUGACACAAAGAUCUUCCCACAACAACCUUCAUUACGAUAGAAACGCGGGACAUAAAAAAUCAAACAAAAGGCAAAGCCUUAUUCCUGUUUACAGAAGAAAGAAAAAGUUGUAAUAUAUUUUAUAUACAUACUAUUCUCAAAUAUAUCCAAAAUUAACUCAAACAAUAAAAAAAAAGAAAUAUAUUUACAUAAAAGUGAGAAAGAAAACAUCAUUUACAUCACUAAACACCAUCCACUGCCUUCACCUCAGAAGUUAAUGUGUGAACUUCAAAUGAUUAGAAUUUACAUAUGUUGUUUUUUCUCAUACCUACCUUCAUAAACAAUUAAAUGUAUAAUUAUAUGCAAUUAUAGUGUGUAAUACAUAAAGUAUAAUAUAUAUAAAUCCUAAAUAAUAUAAUUUUAUAAAGCAAGAAUUUGGACAUUACUAAAUAUGAGAUUGUAAAAAUGCAUCAACAAGUUUCUCAAUUUAGUUGACGCAGAAGAAGUAAAAUAUAAUACCAGCACUUCAACACUAAAAAAACAUAUGAGAACUAAAAAAAUAAAUAUAUAUAUAUAUAUAUAUAUAAAAGAAUUGUAUACCUAAUUUGUAGAUGUAGAAACUAUCCUGUCACUUGAAAAAUAUAACUUCAAAUUCAUUUUUUGAAGUAUCUUGAAG